This 2163-nucleotide ribosomal RNA is filed under the name Triticum aestivum (bread wheat). Its description in RNAcentral is "partial small subunit ribosomal RNA". The record is from RNAcentral. Lineage: Eukaryota; Viridiplantae; Streptophyta; Magnoliopsida; Poales; Poaceae.
AUGACACCGCUACAAACCUUGCUCCUCCUACUUGUCUUCUAUGCCGCGCUCCUCACCACCGCUGUCUCCGGCGCACCGUCCCCGCCACCAGCGUCGGUGCCGCCUGUGGCAAAAAGCUGUCCUGGCAAAUGCGGGGAAAUAGACAUCCCCUACCCAUUCGGCAUCGGCCCCGGGUGCUCGCUGUCGGGCCGGUUCGCCCUCACAUGCAACGAGACGACAAGUCCUCCCACCCUGCUCCGCCGCGACAUCAAGGUCGCCAACAUCACACUGGAGACGGCGCAGAUGGUGGUCUACACCCACCUGACCUAUAGCUGCGACCUACCGAGCAGCAAGAACACGACCACGAGGGUGAGCGCGGUGCUCCGCGUUCGCAACCCGUUCCUGCUCUCGGCGUCGGCCAACGUGUUCACGGCCAUCGGGUGCAGGUCGACGGCCAGGCUCAGGAGCCGCAGCGUCAGCGACUACCUCACUGGCUGCAUCACGACAUGCCUGAGGGUGAACGACACCGGGGACGACGGCACGCCCUGCAACGGACACGGCUGCUGCGAGACCUCGCUGAUUUCCCGCCUCAAUCAAGUCAACGUCAGCUGGAGCACGCGCGCGCUGGGCACCAACCCUGUGCCUGAAAGCCCGUGCCAGUACGCCUUCGUCUCCACCAAAGGCUGGUACCAUUUCAAGAAAACUGAUCUAAUUGGGAAUAUGACAUUCAUAAAUAGACUUGGACAUGGUCCCGUCGUUCCUGUUGUCCUUGACUGGGCAAUACGGGAUGGAACAUGCCCGUCGGCGCCAGAGGGUGACAACAGUGAGAAUGUUCCCUACGCAUGUGUUAGCGCCCAGAGCUAUUGCGUAAAUGCCAGCAAUGGAGCACGCGGCUAUUUCUGCAGAUGUUCUAAGGGAUACAGUGGCAACCCAUACAUUAAAAAUGGAUGCACAAAUAUUAACGAGUGUGAGCUACGGAGAUCCCCAAACUCAACAAUUUACAAGAACAUGUAUCCUUGUCAUGGAGGGAGAUGCCACGAUAGAGAGGGUGAAUAUGAGUGUAAAUGCAAUUUCGGACGAAGAGGUGAUGGUAAAAGCCACAAGGGUUGUGAACUUGUAGUGUCCACGACUGCUGCAGCGGUGAUAGGAACAAUUGGUGUCAUUGCAUUACUCGCCGUGCUACUGAUAUUCUUACAUAUGGAGAACGAGAAAAGAAAACUGAGAGAUUGUUUCAACAAAAACGGCGGACAAUUACUCAAAAGCCUCAAGGUCGAGAUCUUCACAAAGGAAAAGCUAGACCACAUCACAAAUAACUACCGUUGCAUAAUCGGCCAAGGCGCCUUUGGGAAGGUCUACAAGGGAGCCACUGGCGCCAGAGACAAUGUACGGGUUGCCGUGAAAUGCUCGAUCCCCAUCAACGAGGACUGGAAGAAGGAGUCUUUUGCGAAUGAGAUCACAAUCCAGUCCAAUAUCAGCCACCGGAACCUGGUCCAACUGUUGGGUUGCUGCUUGGAGACGGAGGUGCCCAUGCUGGUCUACGAGUACGUGCCCAGGGGGAGCCUCCACGACGUACUCCACGGUGACAAUAAGGAACCUCUCCCGCUGGAAACACGCUUGGAUAUCGCAAUCUAUUCAGCGGUUGCGCUCGUUUACAUGCACUCGGAGGCGAGUCAGACAUCAAUCAUCCUCCACGGAGAUGUGAAGUCGGGCAACAUCCUCCUGGAUGACGGAUUCACGCCCAAGGUGUCGGACUUCGGGACGUCGAGGCUCAUGUCGAUCGACAAGGACCACACAAACUGGGUGGUCGGGGACAGCAGCUACAUCGACCCCGUGUACAUGAAGACCGGGCUGCUGACCGAGAAAAGUGACGUGUACAGCUUCGGCAUCGUACUACUGGAGCUCGUGACCCGGAAGAAAGCAAGGUAUGACGGGAACCAUAGCCUGCCACUGGAUUAUGUCAAGGCUUCCAUGGGUGGGGCGGUGAGGGAGAUGUUUGAUCCAGAGGUUGCGUCUCGCGGGAAGGAAAAUGAGGAGUGCCUUGAGGAGGUGGGCAAGAUCGCGGUGCAGUGUCUCAAGGAGGAUGUGAACGACAGGCCCACCAUGAAUGAAGUGGCUGAGAGACUUAAAAUAUGUAAGUGCCGGUGGUUGGAGUAUGACAGGAAGACGAAUGAGAUAUGCACUUAG